GAAGUUGAGUUGGGAAAAGAUGGUAAAACUUUAUGUAAAAAAUUUCUGAUUUGUAAAUAUCUGAAGAAAUUAGAUUUAGGUAAUUUAAAUUUAUUGGAAAGUUGGUCAAAAGACAUCAAAGUACCUUCAAAAAAAAGGUCACGAAAACAUUUUAUACCUUUCCUUUUCCAUAUGCUAAAGGCUUGAUCUGUCAAGGAAGGUUUAAAGAAAAAAUUAAAUAAAAUAGGGCUAUCAAGCACAAAGUUUUUCAAAGUAAAAAAUUUCCGAAAUUGAAACCAAAUUCGUAAUGUGUGUUUAAUAACAGGAUUAGAUAUGAUUGGCUAAUUGAUGUCAUCUGAUAGAAGACUAUAAAAGUUGAGUUCUCAUUUUCUUUGACAGCUAACGUGUCAGUUUUAUUUCCAUUGCAUGAUGAGCUAAAAUCAUCAGAUAACAUCAAAGAAGUUUUAUACACUUAACCUGCUAUUUAUGUUUCCUGUAACCACCAGGAACUGGAUCGUUGAUACCAGCCGACCACAGUCGCAGUAAAUUUGUUCAUUGUGUCUGCUGAGGCUCAUUUCAAUAUCGGACAGUAUGCAUUGAUCAUGGAGCUUUGAUUGAAGAAAAUUGUUGAAGACAAUUGAGUCCAAAUUGGAGCAUACUUUCCUGAAAACAUGGGAUUAGAUCAAGAUUUAG
Long non-coding RNA from Hypanus sabinus (Atlantic stingray), 672 nucleotides. RefSeq lists it as uncharacterized. Lineage: Eukaryota; Metazoa; Chordata; Chondrichthyes; Myliobatiformes; Dasyatidae. The transcript has 2 exons. The record is from RefSeq and is a predicted model, not a curated record.